RNAcentral lists this ribosomal RNA (399 nucleotides) under uncultured bacterium. Its description in RNAcentral is "bacterial SSU rRNA". It matches the Rfam family "Bacterial small subunit ribosomal RNA", at positions 29 to 412 of the family's 1533-position model. The record is from RNAcentral.
AACGAACGCUGGCGGCGUGGAUUAGGCAUGCAAGUCGAACGGACACUUAGCUUUUUCGAGUGUUAGUGGCGAAAGGGUGAGUAACACGUGGGUUACCUGCCCUAGGGUUCGGGAUAACUUGUCGAAAGACGGGCUAAUACCGGAUACGUUCUUAUUCUUUAACUGGAGUAAGAGGAAAGAUGGGGACCUCGCAAGAGGCCUGUCACCCUUGGUUGGGCCCGCGGCCUAUCAGCUAGUUGGUGAGGUAAUGGCCACCAAGGCUAAGACGGGUAGCUGGUCUGAGAGGAUGGUCAGCCACACUGGGACUGAGACACUGCCCAGACUCCUACGGGAGGCUGCAGUCGAGAAUCUUUCGCAAUGGGGGAAACCCUGACGGAGCGACGCCGCGUGUAGGAUGAA